Molecule: ribosomal RNA, 497 nt
Filed under: uncultured bacterium
Lineage: Bacteria
Description: partial 16S ribosomal RNA
Rfam family: Bacterial small subunit ribosomal RNA
Source: RNAcentral
GAUGAACGCUGGCGGCGUGCCUAAUACAUGCAAGUCGAGCGAACAGACGAGGAGCUUGCUCCUUUGACGUUAGCGGCGGACGGGUGAGUAACACGUAGGUAACCUACCUAUAAGACUGGGAUAACUUCGGGAAACCGGAGCUAAUACCGGAUAAUAUUUCGAACCGCAUGGUUCGAUAGUGAAAGAUGGCUUUGCUAUCACUUAUAGAUGGACCUGCGCCGUAUUAGCUAGUUGGUAAGGUAACGGCUUACCAAGGCAACGAUACGUAGCCGACCUGAGAGGGUGAUCGGCCACACUGGAACUGAGACACGGUCCAGACUCCUACGAGAGGCAGCAGUAGGGAAUCUUCCGCAAUGGGCGAAAGCCUGACGGAGCAACGCCGCGUGAGUGAUGAAGGUCUUCGGAUCGUAAAACUCUGUUAUUAGGGAAGAACAAACGUGUAAGUAACUGUGCACGUCUUGACGGUACCUAAUCAGAAAGCCACGGCUAACUACGUG